This 435-nucleotide ribosomal RNA is filed under the name uncultured soil bacterium. Its description in RNAcentral is "bacterial SSU rRNA". It matches the Rfam family "Bacterial small subunit ribosomal RNA", at positions 957 to 1393 of the family's 1533-position model. The record is from RNAcentral.
GAACGCGAAGAACCUUACCUAGGCUAGAAUGUGAGGGAAUGUCGGGUAACGCCGACAGUCCGGGAAACCGGACCCAAAACAAGGUGCUGCAUGGCUGUCGUCAGCUCGUGUCGUGAGAUGUUGGGUUAAGUCCCGCAACGAGCGCAACCCUUAUCAACAGUUGCCAUCAUUAAGUUGGGAACUCUGUUGAGACUGCCGUUGAUAAAACGGAGGAAGGUGGGGAUGAUGUCAAGUCAUCAUGGCCUUUAUGCUUAGGGCUACACACGUGCUACAAUGGAUGGUACAAAACGUCGCAAUCUCGUAAGAGGGAGCUAAUCGCAAAAACCAUUCUCAGUUCGGAUUGAAGUCUGCAACUCGACUUCAUGAAGUUGGAAUCGCUAGUAAUCGCAGAUCAGAAUGCUGCGGUGAAUACGUUCCCGGGUCUUGUACACACGC